AGCAGGUUUUCCAGAGGUUUUAUUUGAUCAUACCUGAACCUCUGCUUAGAUCCCAGUUAACUGCUACAAAAUAGGCACCCCUAAGAUAUUCCCCAGCAGCAGCAGCAAGAAAUGACAGAAGCGCGAGCAGGCAGCGUGACAUUCCUGCCAUUGCAGCCACACACGGCUUUGACCCCAACGGUGCAAAGCUGAGCUCCUCAACCAGCAGCACGCUUUGAAAGAGGAACAGAAAGGGAGCAGCCAUAGAAAAUAAUGGUUUCCUGCACUGAGGGCUG
Molecule: long non-coding RNA, 275 nt
Organism: Cygnus atratus (black swan)
Lineage: Eukaryota; Metazoa; Chordata; Aves; Anseriformes; Anatidae
Exons: 3
Source: RefSeq, a predicted model, not a curated record